GGCUGUAGCUCAGUGAAAGAGCAUCUGCUUUGCAUGCAGAAGGUUGCCGGUUCAGUCUCAGAGGGCAUCUCCUGGCAGAGCCG
Molecule: non-coding RNA, 83 nt
Organism: Podarcis lilfordi (Lilford's wall lizard)
Lineage: Eukaryota; Metazoa; Chordata; Lepidosauria; Squamata; Lacertidae
Source: the annotation of a GenBank genome assembly